GUUGGGUCUCUGAUGAAGGCUUUCUAGUUAAUAAGAAUUCUGCAACAAGUUUCUCUAACAUUGCAGCUGUUACAUACAGUGCUGAUGGGGCAGCGCCAGAGAUUGCUCCAAAUGUUGUCUACGGUACCCUCACUGAGAUGAACUCGAAAGAUGAUCCAAACAGCAAUUUCAAUGUGACAUGGCGGUUUAAAGUGGAUCCUGAGUUUCAGUA
RNAcentral lists this unclassified non-coding RNA (211 nucleotides) under Hevea brasiliensis (rubber tree). Lineage: Eukaryota; Viridiplantae; Streptophyta; Magnoliopsida; Malpighiales; Euphorbiaceae. The record is from RNAcentral.